CGCCUGGGAGCGCCUCUCGCCCCGUCGCGUUUAUCGAGGAGACAGGUUCUAAAAGAGAAAAGCCCUCGCAUUUAAUUUCUCAUACCUGGACCUGCUCUCCCAGCCACUGAAAUACAGUAUAUCCAAGAUCAGUUCUGAUGACCAAGAUCCCAAAGACAAAUUGAAGACCUAGGCCCGAAAACACUGUCCUCCAGGACACCUAGGAUCAAUAAGAAUAUUAUUUCAAUGGUGAAAACUGAGGUUUAGAGAGGGUAAAUAACUUGCCCAAAAUCUGGAAAAGUUUGCCAACCCCUGGUCUUACUCCUCAUUAAGGUUUCCCUUCCUCUCCACCAUUCCCAAAUCUGAGUAUUCCAGAAGAGCUACUGUUUUUUUAAUGAUAUGGUAAAUUAAUUUCUAAAGGGAUUAAAAUGAAUACCUACCUGUUGUAAUGAAAAUAAAUGUAUAACAUAAAGCAAUCUGCAAAAUAACUGUUUUGCAGGCCUAAGACUUAUGCAGAGGUGGCGCCCGCCCGUAAUCCCAGCACUUCGGGAGGCCGAGACGGGCGGAUCGCUUGAGACCAGCCAGGAUAACAUGGCGAAACCACAUCUCUACAACAAAUACAAAAAUUAGCUGGGCGCGGUGGCACACGACUGUGGUUCCAGUUACUCGGCAGGCGGAGGUGGAAGGAUCCCUUGAGCCUCUGGAGGUGGAGGUUGCAGUGAGCUGUGAUUGCGCCACUGCACUCCAGCCUGGGCGACAGAGUGAGACCCUGUCAGAAAACAAAACAAAACAAAAGAAUUCUGUAAGAACUUCUAACAGGUACAUUCCUGUAAGCAUUACCCACCACUGGACUAGGCACUGGGUAGCCUGUAAAAUACAGUAAGAGCCGUCUCUGCACCCAGAAAAUUUACCAUCAUUUUGUGCUGGAAAGACAUGCCCUAGAAAACAAUAAACAGCACGACUGUACAUGAUUCCAUGCCAAAUGACUGCUAGGAAUUAUUUUAUUAAUCCAUUCAACAAAUACUUAUUGAGUAACCACUAUUAGCCAGCCACCGUUUUCCGUGUGAGGACAUAAAAAUGAGUGAGACAAGGUCUCUGCCAUCAAAAAACGAACAGAUCAGUGAGGAAAGACGGAUGUGUCAAGAAAGGCUUUGCAGGUCGAGCGCGGUGAAUCACGCUUGUAAUCCCAGCACACUGGGAGGCAGAGGCAGGCGGAUCAUUUGAGGUCAGGCGCUCGAGACCACCCUGGCCAACAUGGCGAAACUCCAUCUCUACUAAAAAUACAAAAAUUAUCCGGGCAUGGUGGUGCAGGCUUGUAAUCUCAGCUACUCAGGAGGCUGAGGCAGGAGAAUCAUUUGAACCCAGGAGGCAGAGGUUGCAGUGAGCCAUGAUCAUGCCACUGCACUCCAGCCUGGGUGAGCGAGACUCCAUCUCAAAAAAAAAAAAAAAAAAAAAAAAGAGGGAGAGAAAGACUUUACAGAGCUGGUAACACUUAUCCUGGCCUGGAAAGAAAGAAAGAAAGCUUCCUAUGACGCCCUCUGGAUAAAACUUA
RNAcentral lists this long non-coding RNA (1531 nucleotides) under Homo sapiens (human). RNAcentral's name for it is "HSALNT0219687". Lineage: Eukaryota; Metazoa; Chordata; Mammalia; Primates; Hominidae. The record is from RNAcentral.